This 2457-nucleotide ribosomal RNA is filed under the name Triticum aestivum (bread wheat). RNAcentral's name for it is "partial small subunit ribosomal RNA". Lineage: Eukaryota; Viridiplantae; Streptophyta; Magnoliopsida; Poales; Poaceae. The record is from RNAcentral.
AUGGCGGCGGCGCAGCAGCCGCACCCGCUGCCGCCCGUGCCGGCGGAGGGGGCGGCGCCCCUGGCCGCGCCGGCGGGGGCGCCGCGGCCGUACGAGCUGGCGGUCGCGGCGGCGGAGCUCCGCCCCGUGGACUGCAACCUCGCGGCGCUCUGCGACCACGUGCAGGCCGAGGGCUUCGGCUCCGGCGCCUUCUCCGAUGUCGUCGUCGAGGCCAUGGGCGCCACCUACCGCCUCCACCGCCUCAUCAUCUCCCGCAGCACCUACUUCAGGAAUAUGUUGCAUGGUCCAUGGAGAGAAGCAGGAGCACCUACAGUGGUCUUGCAUAUAGAUGAUUCUAAUAUUGAUUCAGAGGCAAUUGCAAUUGCGUUGGCAUAUCUUUAUGGGCAACCCCCCAAGCUUAAUGAUAACAAUGCGUUUCGUGUACUGGCAGCUGCAUCAUUUCUGGAUCUUCAGGGCUUGUGUACAAUCUGUACAGAUUUUAUUAUUUCUGAGCUUUGGACAUCAAACUUUUUACAGUAUCAGUUGUUUGCGGAAAGCCAAGACUAUGGUAGUCAUGGAGAGCGUGUCAGAAAUGCUUGCUGGGGUUAUCUUUGUCAAAGUGCCACACUGGAACUACGAGAGGUGCUUCCAAAACUUUCUUCACAAACUUUGCAUGCUCUCCUUACAUCUGACGAACUGUGGGUACCUAAUGAGGAGAAACGGUUUGAACUAGCAUUAUUUGCUCUACUGGCAAAGGUCACCGUUUCUGAUGUAGAAGUUAGCGGAAAUGAAAAUUUGGACCUUAUGGCAAGCUCAUUAACUGUCGAUUGUUCCAUUGGAAAGGGAAAGGGUCUGAUGAAUGAAACUGGUGAGAAGCAGCUAAUGGAAUCUGAACUGCAGAACUUGAAGUUGCAUGAUAACAUGGCGAGUAAAGCUGCCAAUAACAUUAUUGAUGUUCCAAAUGUUGUAAUUCCGCAGGAUAGCACACCACAAUCCAUUCCACAAAAUGCUGAAGCUUCCAAGAGGAUGGAGAAUGAUAUUUCUACAGGAGGACCAUCUGCAGAGAGCACCUCUUAUCAAUUUAACGAAAAUAUGUGGCUUUCCAGUGAGCAAACAAAGAAUUAUUUCUCAAGAACUUCUUCAAGUAAUGGGUUAGUUCCAUGUGAGUGGGGAAGACCCACUGCACCUCUUUGGGGUGGUAGGGUUGUUGGUCGACGGCAGGUUAGAUGCAGCAGGGGAAGUUCUUCUUUGUCUGCUGAUGAAUAUAAUACUUUCAUGAAUAUAUUUGAAAGGGGUUCUCUUCUCUAUUGCAAUAUGUCAUUUGAUGCACUGUUAAGUGUUCGAAAGCAACUUGAAGAAUUUGAAUUUCCUUGCAAAGCUGUAAACGAUGGUCUUUGGCUCCAGAUGCUCCUGUGCCACAGAGUGCAAGCAAUAGUUGCUGAUACUUGCAGAAACUGUUGCCUUACAAGUAAUUCUUGUGCUUGUAAGCAAGCAUAUGUGAGUACACACAGCCACUACAGGCAGGAGCAUGAUAGGACAAGUGCUUCAGGAACUGCAGGUAGUAUCUACCUUGCAGAUGGCCAAGGCGAUGGGAAUGGUAUGUUUAGUCCUGUGCGUGUUAAUGUAAGAGGAGCAGUUGAUGGACUUGCUGGCAUUGGGAGAGGAAACUCAAAUGUGCCUGGCGCUGCUUGGGCUCCUACACGUUAUGUCUUCUCUCGUGUUCCCUAUGGGCUUGGUUCAAGGAAUGGUCAGCAAUCAUUUGCCAAUGAUGAAUCAGAACCUAGAGUUGACCACAAUGGAGAUAUUCCAGGAGAUGGUCUGACUGCAUUGGUCAAUCUUAGCCAAGAAAGCAAUGCUUCUCAUCAUCAGGCAGAAAGUAUUUUUGAGGCAGGCAUGCAAACUAGAUAUUCUGGUGCUGCUACUGUUUCUACACCAGGUGGUUCUUCUCUCCAGAUGCAAGAGUCAAAAGAGCACGAACAUGGGUCCAGUUGGGAAAGUGCAGAUAACACAGCUAUAUCCUUGGACAUGAGAACACCGCUUAGUCAUUUCCCUCCUUUCCGCUUUGGGGUUGAAUUUGAAGAUGUGCAUAGGCUUUCAGAUGGUCAAGUGAAACACUCAGCUGAAGUAUUUUACGCUGGCUCACUAUGGAAGGUAAGUGUCCAGGCAUUCAAUGAUGAGGAUCCUCAUGGGCGGCGCACCCUUGGGCUUUUUCUCCACAGACGCAAAGCUGAAUUGUUAGACCCCUUGAGGAAGGCCCACAUGUAUAUAGACCCCCGGGAAAAGGUCACUGCUCGGUAUCAGCUCAUCUGUCCGUCGAAGAGAGAGGUGAUGAUAUUCGGAAGCCUGAAGCAGGCCGGCACUCUCCUGCCCAAGGCUCCAAAAGGGUGGGGUUGGCGCACGGCCAUACUGUUCGAUGAACUUGCUGAUCUUCUCCAGGGUGGAGCCCUGAGAAUCGCUGCAGUAGUCCAGCUUGUGUAA